CCUACGGGAGGCAGCAGUGAGGAAUAUUGGUCAAUGGGCUUACGCCUGAACCAGCCAAGUCGCGUGAGGGAAGACUGCCCUAUGGGUUGUAAACCUCUUUUGUCAGGGAGCAAUUGGCGCUACGUGUAGCGUUAUCGAGAGUACCUGAAGAAAAAGCAUCGGCUAACUCCGUGCCAGCAGCCGCGGUAAUACGGAGGAUGCGAGCGUUAUCCGGAUUUAUUGGGUUGAAAGGGUGCGUAGGCGGAAUGCCAAGUCAGCGGGAAAAUCGCGGGGCUCAACCUCGCUCCGCCGUUGAAACUGGCGUUCUUGAGUGGGCGAGAAGUAUGCGGAAUGCGUGGUGUAGCGGUGAAAUGCAUAGAUAUCACGCAGAACUCCGAUUGCGAAGGCAGCAUACCGGCGCCCAACUGACGCUGAAGCACGAAAGCGUGGGUAUCGAACAGGAUUAGAUACCCGAGUAGUC
Molecule: ribosomal RNA, 460 nt
Filed under: uncultured bacterium
Lineage: Bacteria
Description: partial 16S ribosomal RNA
Rfam family: Bacterial small subunit ribosomal RNA
Source: RNAcentral